RNAcentral lists this ribosomal RNA (407 nucleotides) under uncultured bacterium. RNAcentral describes it as "bacterial SSU rRNA". It matches the Rfam family "Bacterial small subunit ribosomal RNA", at positions 355 to 776 of the family's 1533-position model. The record is from RNAcentral.
UCGAGAAUCUUCUGCAAUGUGCGAAAGCAUGACAGAGCAAUGCCGCGUGAAGGAUGAAGGCUCUAGGGUUGUAAACUUCUGUCACCGGGGACGAAAAAAAUGACGGUACCCGGAGAGGAAGCCACGGCUAACUACGUGCCAGCAGCCGCGGUAAUACGUAGGUGGCGAGCGUUGUUCGGAUUUACUGGGCGCAAAGGGUCUGUAGGGGGUUGGAUAAGUCUGAUGUGAAAUCCCGGAGCUCAACUCCGGAACUGCAUUGGAAACUGUCUGACUAGAGCUUCAGAGAGGAGAAUGGAAUUCCAGGUGUAGCGGUGGAAUGCGUAGAUAUCUGGAGGAACACCAAAAGCGAAGGCAGUUCUCUGGCUGAAUGCUGACCCUGAGGGACGAAAGCGUGGGGAGCAAACAGG